GGGGUUGUACUGGUUUCGACGGGGGUUUUGAAGUUGAGGAAGCCAUCUGCGGGCCGGGACCGCAUCAGCAAACCGGACCUUAAAAUUAAACGCAGACGAAAAUUACGCGUUAGCAGCUUAAUUGCUGCUUGUCGGUCUUGAGCUGCUCACCGCUUGAGGUACCGGCAUCAAAUCUGGUGAGGCACUUUUGUUCCAAAGCUUUGCGGAAUAAAAAGAUUUUAUGAAGCUACUAAAGCUGUAAGCCUGUCAUUUGGCGUACAGUGGAGGGAAUGUCAAAGAAAUGACUGUGAUGGGAGAUGCCGCAAUGAAUAGGCUUUCGGACAGGGGUUCGAUUCCCCUCAGCUCCAU
RNAcentral lists this transfer-messenger RNA (348 nucleotides) under chicken gut metagenome. It matches the Rfam family "transfer-messenger RNA". Rfam says of the family: Bacterial tmRNA, also known as 10Sa RNA or SsrA, is named for its dual tRNA and mRNA-like properties. Its role is to liberate the mRNA from a stalled ribosome. The record is from RNAcentral.